GAAGCCUCUUGGGGCUUAUUUAGACAAUGGUUUCAUCAUUUCGUCUGAAUAGAGUCUGAAGAGUCUUU
Molecule: microRNA precursor, 68 nt
Organism: Homo sapiens (human)
Lineage: Eukaryota; Metazoa; Chordata; Mammalia; Primates; Hominidae
Product: microRNA 4427
Source: Ensembl